CGGGGUCUCGCACAGGCUCCAGGCCCUUGGGGUCCCGGAGGGUCCAGCAGAAGGGUCUGUGUUUUGCCCGGGGUCCUGAGAGCGUGCUGGGGAUAGCAGGGGUGGAGUGCAGGUGUGCCCAUGGGCGCCCCGGGUCCAGGGCCCGCGGAGCCGCUCUCGGGGCGGAGACCUUGCCCCCAGGGGCACGUCAGCGGUCCUGAGGUGAGGCUCCUGCAGAGCACUCUGGGCCGCGUGUGUCUCUCCCUGCGUGGGCAGGCAGUGUCGGUGGCCGGAGCGAGGGUGUUUUCCCAUCGGGGUGAGAGGGAGAGCCCCAGGGUGGGCCUGGGGGCGGAAUCGGACUCGGGGUUGGGGUGGACUCUUCUGAAGCUGGGAGGGGUGCGGGUGGGCAGGGCCUUAGGGAGCCUGAGGGAGGCGCGGUUCCUGGGGAAGGGUGUGGCGAGGCGGCGGCAGCCCGCGUCGCGCUGUGGCGCCCCAGCGAAGGGGCAGUGCUGGCCACUCGUGUGGCCCUUUGGCUGCUGGCACCCAGUGAGAGGGGGAGGCCAGGGACAGGUGGCAGCCAGGCUGCCCACAGGCCCUGGGCGGUGGGGGCCCGGCCCCUGUGCCUUGGGCAGCCUGGCCCUUGCUGAGGCGUGCUUGCGCGUGUCCGUUGUCGCCCUCACCCAGCUGCUGCGGCGGAGAGACGGAGGCCAGCGCGGGGAGCGGAAGCCGGAGCCUGUCGGGAGCGACCCCGGGAAGGCCAGUCCCUCCUGCCGGUGGGAGGCGUGUUGGCGUGCGGCCGGUGGCGGGAUCGAUGGCCACCUGGUAGGCGAUGCUGCUGCGGCGGAGAGACGGAGGCCAGCGCGGGGAGCGGAAGCCGGAGCCUGUCGGGAGCGACCCCGGGAAGGCCAGUCCCUCCUGCCGGUGGGAGGCGUGUUGGCGUGCGGCCGGUGGCGGGAUCGAUGGCCACCUGGUAGGCGAUGGUAAGCGGCAGUGGCCUGCGCCAAGGUAGCCCCCGGGGGCGGUGUGUGGCGCCCGGACCCGCACCCUCUGCUCCCGGGGGUGGAGCUGACCUGCUUGCCCGCGGUUGGGCUCGGGAGCCUGCGGGCCGCGGCCAGGAGGGAGCUGGCUGGCCGUCCCGGCGGUGGGGGCUGUGGCGGUGGCCGUCCCGCGGGUGUGCCCGUGCUCGGAUCGAUGAUGACACCCACAAACGCAUUCCUUGGAAAAUCUGAACAAAAUGAGUGAGAACUCACUACCGUCUCCUCAUCGCAAACUGAGGUCCGGCACGUGGCUCCCACAGGGGCCGUCGGGGGAGGGUCCCGUUGCCUUGGCUCCCUUGGGUGCGUGCAGCCCUGGGGCGCAGGUGGGAGGCAGGCAGGCCUCCGGUGGCCC
Molecule: long non-coding RNA, 1368 nt
Filed under: Sus scrofa (pig)
Lineage: Eukaryota; Metazoa; Chordata; Mammalia; Artiodactyla; Suidae
Description: lncRNA (ENSSSCG00070003110.1)
Rfam family: Small nucleolar RNA SNORD116 (bases 1165-1258)
Source: RNAcentral